This is a long non-coding RNA of Harmonia axyridis, 684 nucleotides long. RefSeq lists it as uncharacterized. NCBI's taxonomy places the organism in Eukaryota, Metazoa, Arthropoda, Insecta, Coleoptera, Coccinellidae. The record is from RefSeq and is a predicted model, not a curated record. The transcript has 2 exons.
AUUAAAGCUUGAUUUCUGCAUUGAAUAUGACGAGCUAUUCUUUGAUUUUUUUCUCGAUAUUUUCUUUUCUUGACUGCAAUCAAAUGAAGACAAUUUCAAUUAACCUUUUUCAGAUACUGAUCGUAUUCCAAAUUUAGCAAUGAGAAAAAUCCUUUGAAUCGCACUAUUUAUAUCCCAUCAACAAAGACUUGAAGCAAUCCCGACAAACCGGAAUGAGUACCAGAUGACUGAAAAAACGAUCUGAUCCCUAGGCAUUGGCUUGUAUCAAGAAUAAUGUAAUUACAGCUGACUCCGUAUACAUUGUGGGAUUGCAUAUAUAAGCUGGAAUCAACAUGUCAAAGGCAUCAUUUGAAUCACACAGAUCAAAUACCUAUACAAGAUGUUCGCUAAAAUCAUCCUCCUUGCCUUCGCUCUCUUCGCAUUAGCAUUCGCUGCACCAGAACCAAGGCCCCAAUUUAUUGUUCCAGCCGCCAACGCUUACAACGCAUACUCAGCACCUUUGGCCUACUCUCCUUACUCUGCUUUGCCUUACUCAGGUUACGCUGGUGUUUAUGGAGCUGUCCAACCUGGUGCUGUUAUUGUUUGAACGACUGAAUAUGUAAACAAAGAUAUAGAUUUCAAUGAAAAUAAUAGUUUGGUAAUAUCAUUAGAAAAUUUCAUACAAUAAAUUCAAUAUAAUACAAA